Long non-coding RNA from Pezoporus occidentalis (night parrot), 809 nucleotides. RefSeq lists it as uncharacterized. NCBI's taxonomy places the organism in Eukaryota, Metazoa, Chordata, Aves, Psittaciformes, Psittacidae. The transcript is spliced from 3 exons. The record is from RefSeq and is a predicted model, not a curated record.
UUCACGGGGUUUCCACCCCAAUGUUAUUCAUUCUUCCGUCCAUCCCCUGAGUCCUGGGCAGCUUCUCCAACUGCUUCUUCCUACAGGGCUUCAUUAGGGAGGCCAAACUUUGCUAUCACUUACAAGACUGCAGAUGCACCUGGAGUAAAUCCCUUUGCCGUUGAAGGAGUUUCUGGACUUACAGCCACCAACCAGAGAAGGAGUUCCCUUGGUAACCUGCAUGUGAAUCUCCACUUUUGGCUCAUUCCAUUAAAGAAAGAUGAACCCUGAAGGGGCUCACUGACCCGUUUGCACCUCUACUUUAGGACAAGUUCGCCUUGCAGAAGAUGGAAGAAGCUCAUCCAGGACAACAUCUGCAGCCUCACCUAGGUAGGUGCAGCUUAGGACAGGUGGCUGUAGUCCCAGCGAGGAAAGUCAUGUGGAGCUAAGUAAAAGUUAUGCCUGUUACAAGCUCUGCUGCUUUUUAAUGAAAGGGGAACCCAUGUUCUCAGCUACUUUCUGGAGAGUUUUGGGUGGCAGUUGAUUAGAAACGCAGAUUUCCUACUUUUGUGCUUGCAAGAAAGAGUGGAGAUGUGAAACUUCGAAUGUGAUGGAGCAAACACAUCUUCUUGUGGGUUUCAUCUUCUGCUUGCAGGAGAUGCUUGAAGGAGUAGGAAGGAGGAGACUGAAUACUUCCUGGGUGGAAGAGGUCUGUGGGUGAAUGGGGAGGGCUAAGCCUGUGGCAUGCUGGCCCCGUUAGCCAUACUGACAUAGAUGGCACAUAGCUUGUGCUAUACGUGCUGAUCCCUGCACCCACCUUUGUCUGGUGG